CUCCCCUCCCGGUACCGGCCCUCGCGCAAGGGUUGGGUCGGGUUUCUCCCGCGGCGUCCCCACUCCCACCGGCGGCUGCUCUGCUAUUCAGGUAACUGCACUUUUCUUGGGCCUGAAGUUGCCAGGCCUAAGAGAGAAACAGAAACGCUCGUUAUGAGUUCUCAGUUCAAGGCCUUGCUCUUUGCUCUCCGGUUUGGCCAGUUCCUCCUGUGUAGCCCUACUCAUAGACAUCAGACUGAGACCAGCCAUGUUCACAGAGAGCAGCCCUUGGCCAUGGGCCAGGCCAUCGAUGGGAGUGUUGACGGAGAUCACACAGAUGGACUUUGACAGGUUCUGCUUGUACCCUCCAUCUGGUUUACUUCAUCCUUAUUUUUCAAGGGUAUAUGACACUGCUUUGGUUUUGGCUAGUUCCUUAUUAGCAAUAAUCCUUAGCUUCUACAACUAACGUUUCGUGUAUGGUUCCAUGUGAAGGGCCCUGCUGGAAUCCAGAUCAAUUAAGUCUAUUCUGUUUCCAGAUACUAGGAGGUCAGACCUGUUCUCAGUGAGACCCAUUUUACCCAGCACAGUUUGGUUUUAGCAAGACAAUGCUGUAUCUCAGUCACAUCUUUCAACUGCCUCCAUGUUUUAAGAAUUUGUUGAAAGCAUUGCAUACUCGAGAGAACCAAAUAAUAGGCCAAUAGAUAAUGUAUUGUUGGAGACAUUUACCCCCUCCCUGUGAAAGUGUACCUCAUGAAGCUGUAAGGAGAGGGAACAUCUGUGCUGAUUUGAAAAGUCUGUUUCUGGGACAAAGUGGGAAAAAAAAGUAAAUUCUGUAUUUCUGCCUUCACACCCUUAAUGAGUGAGAGUUAGGCAAGGCAGGACUUGUUUACUUCAGAUGUUGGUCACGCUCAAAUAGUGUCGCAUGCCUCCCAUUCUUCCCCUGUGCUUGGCAGGCUGCCAUUCUCUGGGGGCAUCUGUGUGGGGGUGGGAAUCCCUGGAUGAAACUGCUGGGAAGCUUUUAAAAUUUUCAGAGAACAGGAGCAAACGUCAAGGAAACAGAAAAAGAAUCUGCAAGAGCCACAAAGAUCGAGUUGGUGCAGGAGAAAGGGACUGCCAUUCUGUUUGCUGAGCAGAUGCCCAGGGCAAGCUGCGCAGUGGGAUCUGUUGCGUCUGGGCCAGUCUGUGGUUGCAGGAGCAGAAAACGAGCUGUCAUUUAAGCACCAAGAAGUAAGUCGUCCAGCCAGCGAGGAGCAGCGCCCCGACCAGCACCGUGUAGCUGAACAGCACGAAGGCCAGGAGCUCCUUCAGCACCUUGAGGAAGUGGACGGCAAAGGAGUCCGGCAUGGUUCUUGCAGCACUGCGAGGCAGGUAGGGUGUCUGGGGCUGCUGGCACCCUGCUCCGUCCAGGUCUGCAAGAAAGAAGAGCAAAGGGGCAGCGUGAGUCUUUCUGGGCAGGAGACUGCAGAGCUGUGGGUGUGAAUCUACUGUAAGAAGUGGCUGUGUUCAGGAGGGCUAAUGGUCACCCUGCUUUCUCAGAGCUUCAACGUCAGGUUGGGAUCAUGUGUGCUUGUUCACAGAGUCCUCUCCAGGGUUACCAGGCUGUGCAGUGUUGAGAAGGAGUUCAGGAUCUGGUCACAGACUCCAAGGCAGGACUGGUAACUAAGCAAAUUAAAAUAUAGACACACAUGCAGUGGACACUGAUGUGUAGGUAAGGACCAGUGGCCCAGAGUCCAGCUGGCUAAUGGUGUCUUUUCCCCUGUGUCAGUUGCUGCGCAUCCAGGAAGCUUCACAUUUAGAGCAUUUGCUGAUGGUACAUUACCAACAGAAUGUUCUAAUCAAAGUGGUCAAUUCCUCCAAGGAAGCCACCAUUAAUAUUUAAUGAUAUAAUAGCAUCUAAUGGAGAUACUGGCACAAACUGAGCCCUUUGUUUAAGACUGAAGAAAAUGGAACUUAAAUACAAGUUUGCACAGCCAAAGAUUUCUAACUCGCAUUAAAAAUAACCUUUAGAUGGGGGACAAAAGGUAAGAUAUUUUAGAAUUCAUUUCUAUUUGUAUUUUAAAGUCAUACUUAUGCAUCACUUUAAAAGUUGCUCAUUAGUUAGUUUAAUGCAAAAUCUGAACACUUUUUCAAAAGUUAUUGGCUUCUUGGACUUAAAGCUGUGAAGACAUAUCUAAAAAAUUCUACUGUGUCCCCAAUUUACAUGUUAUUUUUAAUUUUGUUUAGAAAUAUGCCUGCACUCUUAGUCAAGCUCAUAAAGGGAUUUAAAACCAGAUUCAGGAUAAGGCUAACCUAAAAGGAUUAUUUCUCAUUUAAACAGUCUAAAGCCGGUCAAAGUAAUCUGAAUUCACAUCCUGCCACUUAGAAUAUUUUUAAAGAGCUGUUAUCAUAAAGAGUUCACCUUUUGAUUAAAAAUAAUUUGGUCUUUUUAAAUAGUUUCAGUCAUUUCCCCCAAGCUCAGGCACAUGUAUAUGUUAUAGAAGCUAUUACGUUGUAAAAACAGCUAUAGCUUCCCAGUUGUUCAAAGUAUUGAAGUUUUCUAUUUAUAGUCUUUACAUAUUUUUUCAUUACCUAAAGACGUUGACAAAGAAAUAAACUGCUUACCCAGGUAGAUGAUGGAAUCUAC
RNAcentral lists this long non-coding RNA (2602 nucleotides) under Apteryx owenii (little spotted kiwi). RNAcentral describes it as "lncRNA (ENSAOWG00000016636.1)". Lineage: Eukaryota; Metazoa; Chordata; Aves; Apterygiformes; Apterygidae. The record is from RNAcentral.